GAUGAACGCUGGCGGCGUGCCUAAUACAUGCCAGUCGAGCGAACAGACGAUGAGCUUGCUCCUCUGACGUUAGCGGCGGACGGGUGAGUAACACGUGGAUAACCUACCUAUAAGACUGGGAUAACUUCGGGAAACCGGAGCUAAUACCGGAUAAUAUAUUGAACCGCAUGGUUCAAUAGUGAAAGACGGUUUUGCUGUCACUUAUAGAUGGAUCCGCGCCGCAUUAGCUAGUUGGUAAGGUAACGGCUUACCAAGGCAACGAUGCGUAGCCGACCUGAGAGGGUGAUCGGCCACACUGGAAGUGAGACACGGUCCAGACUCCUACGGGAGGCAGCAGUAGGGAAUCUUCCGCAAUGGGCGAAAGACUGACGGAGCAACGCCGCGUGAGUGAUGAAGGUCUUCGGAUCGUAAAACUCUGUUAUUAGGGAAGAACAAAUGUGUAAGUAACUAUGCACGUCUUGACGGUACCUAAUCAGAAAGCCACGGCUAACUACGUG
Molecule: ribosomal RNA, 497 nt
Filed under: uncultured bacterium
Lineage: Bacteria
Description: partial 16S ribosomal RNA
Rfam family: Bacterial small subunit ribosomal RNA
Source: RNAcentral